This 274-nucleotide ribosomal RNA is filed under the name uncultured bacterium. RNAcentral's name for it is "partial 16S ribosomal RNA". It matches the Rfam family "Bacterial small subunit ribosomal RNA", at positions 523 to 796 of the family's 1533-position model. The record is from RNAcentral.
AUACGGAGGGAGCUAGCGUUGUUCGGAAUUACUGGGCGUAAAGCGUGCGUAGGCGGCCUAUUAAGUUGGGGGUGAAAUCCCAGGGCCCAACCCUGGAACUGCCCUCAAAACUGGUAGUAUUGAGAUUGAGAGAGGUAAGUGGAAUUCCGAGUGUAGAGGUGAAAUUCGUAGAUAUUCGGAGGAACACCAGAGGCGAAGGCGGCUUACUGGAUCAAUACUGACGCUGAGGCACGAAAGUGUGGGGAGCAAACAGGAUUAGAUACCCUAGUAGUCC